UCCCUGGUAGUAUAUCGGUUAGUACACGCGCCUGUCAUGACAUAGUUCAUGUACUGUUAGGAUGCCGCGCGAAAGCUGGGUUCGACUCCCAGCCAGGGAG
RNAcentral lists this transfer RNA (100 nucleotides) under Lentinula aff. boryana. Its description in RNAcentral is "tRNA-Asp". It matches the Rfam family "tRNA". Rfam says of the family: Transfer RNA (tRNA) molecules are approximately 80 nucleotides in length. The record is from RNAcentral. Lineage: Eukaryota; Fungi; Basidiomycota; Agaricomycetes; Agaricales; Omphalotaceae.